This is a long non-coding RNA of Orbicella faveolata, 753 nucleotides long. Lineage: Eukaryota; Metazoa; Cnidaria; Anthozoa; Scleractinia; Merulinidae. The record is from RefSeq and is a predicted model, not a curated record.
AUUCACAUUUAUCCCUUGCAAAAACCGUCCCUCUCUCUCCAAAUUUUGCUUCCAGUGCUCGUUAAUAAUGCAAAGGUUACCUAAACAAAGCAGAAUGUCCCAACAAACGACCACAAGCUGGUGUUUAAACAACACAAACACCGCAGAAAAAAGGCGGGAAGACGCCGGCCUAUCGUUCGCGCCAAACAUGACGGCUCCCUGGGGAGAAACGAUCGCUGAUUGGCAGCCAUCUUUGGUGAGUGUUUACCGGCUGUAAAGCAAACAAACACAGUUUUUUCAACAUGUUGCUGUCGGUAAAUUUCUCAGUGAGCUUAAAACCACUGAUAUCAAAACGAGAUUCGCAUUAAGUUUUCGCUCUUUGGCGUUCUAGCAACAUACAUUUACACAGGUAUUUCUGCAGAGGAAACAUGUAUGUCAACUUCAAUUGAAGGAAAUGGGAAACAAAACAAUUCGUCCGGAGUAUGGAAACUUUUAUUUGUUGUUAAAACAGGUCUACCCAUUGUUGUGAUAACCUUUACACACAAGACUGCUUCAACAAAUGAUGUCACUUCGUAAACAAAGUGAUCGUGUUAGCCAAACUGAUAAAAUACUGGUUGUAUUCAAGAAAUCGACUAAAACCAUUUGCUUGUGACGAACGCCGGCAAGGUUAAAUAUUGUAACUUGUUUGCAACUUGGUCCUUUUCUUUUGUAAUAAUAAAAAUCUAAAGAUGACUUUGGUUCACGAAAACUUCUUACAACUGGAUAUCACACAGA